RNAcentral lists this ribosomal RNA (466 nucleotides) under uncultured bacterium. RNAcentral's name for it is "partial 16S ribosomal RNA". It matches the Rfam family "Bacterial small subunit ribosomal RNA", at positions 28 to 506 of the family's 1533-position model. The record is from RNAcentral.
GAUGAACGCUGGCGGCGUGCUUAACACAUGCAAGUCGAACGGAAAGGCCCAAGCUUGCUUGGGUACUCGAGUGGCGAACGGGUGAGUAACACGUGGGUGAUCUGCCCUGCACUUCGAGAUAAGCCUGGGAAACUGGGUCUAAUACCGGAUAGGACCACAUUUUGGAUGGUGUGGUGGAAAGUUUUUCGGUGUGGGAUGAGCUCGCGGCCUAUCAGCUUGUUGGUGGGGUAAUGGCCUACCAAGGCGUCGACGGGUAGCCGGCCUGAGAGGGUGUACGGCCACAUUGGGACUGAGAUACGGCCCAGACUCCUACGGGAGGCAGCAGUGGGGAAUAUUGCACAAUGGGCGCAAGCCUGAUGCAGCGACGCCGCGUGGGGGAUGACGGCCUUCGGGUUGUAAACUCCUUUCGCUAGGGACGAAGCGUUUUUGUGACGGUACCUGGAGAAGAAGCACCGGCUAACUACGU